UACAGAGGGGGCAAGCGUUGUUCGGAAUUACUGGGCGUAAAGGGCGCGUAGGCGGCCUGUUAAGUCGAACGUGAAAUCCCCGGGCUCAACCCGGGAACUGCGUCCGAUACUGGCAGGCUUGAAUCCGGGAGAGGGAUGCGGAAUUCCAGGUGUAGCGGUGAAAUGCGUAGAUAUCUGGAGGAACACCGGUGGCGAAGGCGGCCUUCUGGACGAUGACUGACGCUGAGACGCGAAAGCGUGGGGAGCAAACAGG
RNAcentral lists this ribosomal RNA (253 nucleotides) under uncultured bacterium. RNAcentral's name for it is "partial 16S ribosomal RNA". It matches the Rfam family "Bacterial small subunit ribosomal RNA", at positions 524 to 776 of the family's 1533-position model. The record is from RNAcentral.